This 404-nucleotide ribosomal RNA is filed under the name uncultured Sphingomonas sp. RNAcentral's name for it is "bacterial SSU rRNA". It matches the Rfam family "Bacterial small subunit ribosomal RNA", at positions 355 to 776 of the family's 1533-position model. Lineage: Bacteria; Pseudomonadati; Pseudomonadota; Alphaproteobacteria; Sphingomonadales; Sphingomonadaceae. The record is from RNAcentral.
UGGGGAAUAUUGGACAAUGGGCGAAAGCCUGAUCCAGCAAUGCCGCGUGAGUGAUGAAGGCCUUAGGGUUGUAAAGCUCUUUUACCCGGGAUGAUAAUGACCGUACCGGGAGAAUAAGCUCCGGCUAACUCCGUGCCAGCAGCCGCGGUAAUACGGAGGGAGCUAGCGUUGUUCGGAAUUACUGGGCGUAAAGCGCACGUAGGCGGCUUUGUAAGUCAGAGGUGAAAGCCUGGAGCUCAACUCCAGAACUGCCUUUGAGACUGCAUCGCUUGAAUCCAGGAGAGGUGAGUGGAAUUCCGAGUGUAGAGGUGAAAUUCGUAGAUAUUCGGAAGAACACCAGUGGCGAAGGCGGCUCACUGGACUGGUAUUGACGCUGAAGUGCGAAAGCGUGGGGAGCAAACAGG